UCAACAUACUGUAGUUAAGAGACUAUGAACCUUGAAAAAAGAUACAAAUUUAAUGCCCUAGAAAACAUCAAACAAAGGCCUUUAGACACAAGUAAGAAAAGGAAAAUAGCUAAAGGAUUGUCUUACUUAAAUCCAUUCUUAAUACUAAUCUCUUGGGUAUGACUCCCGUUAACUAAGACAAUCAUAUUGCAUGAAAAAACACAGACACACAUCUAAGCACACCACUUUUAAUCAAAACCAAAUAUAUAAAUCAUAUAAUCCAAGAAGCUCCAUCUCAUACAGUUGUAAGUCUUCUCAAUAUCCAUCAUAAAAAUGAUACAAUCUUUCAUAUAUCUCUAAACAAUGUCAACUAACAUAUAAACAUCCACAACCCUAUCAACCAAGAGUCUCCCUUUAAGAAAGACAUAUUG
This 410-nucleotide long non-coding RNA is filed under the name Lathyrus oleraceus (garden pea). RNAcentral describes it as "Pisum sativum (pea) long non-coding RNA (PSAT_LNC012012)". Lineage: Eukaryota; Viridiplantae; Streptophyta; Magnoliopsida; Fabales; Fabaceae. The record is from RNAcentral.